Molecule: small nuclear RNA, 162 nt
Organism: Octodon degus (degu)
Lineage: Eukaryota; Metazoa; Chordata; Mammalia; Rodentia; Octodontidae
Gene: U1
Rfam family: U1 spliceosomal RNA
About the family: U1 is a small nuclear RNA (snRNA) component of the spliceosome (involved in pre-mRNA splicing). Its 5' end forms complementary base pairs with the 5' splice junction, thus defining the 5' donor site of an intron.
Source: Ensembl
ACACUGACCUGGCAGGGGGACACCAUGAUCACGAGGGUGGGUUUCCAGGGCGAGGCUUAUCCAUCGCAUUCUGGAUGUCCUGACCCCUGCGAUCUCCCCAAAUGCGGGAAACUCGACUGCAUAAUUUGUGGUAGUGAGGGACUGCGUUUGUGCUUUCCCCUG